This 253-nucleotide ribosomal RNA is filed under the name uncultured bacterium. Its description in RNAcentral is "partial 16S ribosomal RNA". It matches the Rfam family "Bacterial small subunit ribosomal RNA", at positions 524 to 776 of the family's 1533-position model. The record is from RNAcentral.
UACAGAGGGUGCAAGCGUUGUUCGGAAUUAUUGGGCGUAAAGCGCGUGUAGGCGGCCUUGCAAGUUGGGUGUGAAAGCCCUCGGCUUAACCGAGGAAGUGCGCCCAAAACUACAAGGCUUGAGUGCCGGAGAGGGUGGCGGAAUUCCCGGUGUAGAGGUGAAAUUCGUAGAUAUCGGGAGGAACACCAGUGGCGAAGGCGGCCACCUGGACGGUAACUGACGCUGAGACGCGAAAGCGUGGGGAGCAAACAGG